CGGAGCAUGGCGCAGCUUGGCUAGCGCACCUGGUUUGGGACCAGGGGGUCGCAGGUUCAAAUCCUGCUGCUCCGACCA
Molecule: transfer RNA, 78 nt
Filed under: Acetohalobium arabaticum DSM 5501
Lineage: Bacteria; Bacillati; Bacillota; Clostridia; Halanaerobiales; Halobacteroidaceae
Description: tRNA-Pro (TGG) (tRNA-Pro-TGG-1-1, tRNA-Pro-TGG-1-2)
Rfam family: tRNA
About the family: Transfer RNA (tRNA) molecules are approximately 80 nucleotides in length. Their secondary structure includes four short double-helical elements and three loops (D, anti-codon, and T loops). Further hydrogen bonds mediate the characteristic L-shaped molecular structure. tRNAs have two regions of fundamental functional importance: the anti-codon, which is responsible for specific mRNA codon recognition, and the 3' end, to which the tRNAs corresponding amino acid is attached (by aminoacyl-tRNA synthetases). tRNAs cope with the degeneracy of the genetic code in two manners: having more than one tRNA (with a specific anti-codon) for a particular amino acid; and 'wobble' base-pairing, i.e. permitting non-standard base-pairing at the 3rd anti-codon position.
Source: RNAcentral